GGUCCCUAUCUGUUGUGGGCGUAGGUGAUUUGAGAGGGCCUGUCUCUAGUACGAGAGGACUGAGAUGGACGGACCGCUAGUGUGCCGGUUGUCGCGCCAGCGGCAGUGCCGGGUAGCUAUGUCCGGUUUAGAUAACCGCUGAAAGCAUCUAAGCGGGAAGCUAGCCUCAAGAUUAGAUCACCCGGAGGGUAACCUCCCUAAAGGCCACUUGUAGACUACGAGUUUGAUAGGCUGGAUGUGGAAGAGCUGUAAGGCUUGAAGCUAACCAGUACUAAUCGGCCGUGCGACUUAACAAC
This 296-nucleotide ribosomal RNA is filed under the name Nitrospira sp. Its description in RNAcentral is "partial 23S ribosomal RNA". It matches the Rfam family "Bacterial large subunit ribosomal RNA", at positions 2633 to 2925 of the family's 2925-position model. The record is from RNAcentral. Lineage: Bacteria; Pseudomonadati; Nitrospirota; Nitrospiria; Nitrospirales; Nitrospiraceae.